GCUCCGAUAGUGUAGCCCGGCCAAGCAUAAUGGCCUUUCAAGCCGUAGACCCGGGUUCGAAUCCCGGUCGGAGCA
RNAcentral lists this transfer RNA (75 nucleotides) under Candidatus Diapherotrites archaeon CG10_big_fil_rev_8_21_14_0_10_31_34. RNAcentral describes it as "tRNA-Glu". It matches the Rfam family "tRNA". Rfam says of the family: Transfer RNA (tRNA) molecules are approximately 80 nucleotides in length. The record is from RNAcentral. Lineage: Archaea; Nanobdellati; Candidatus Iainarchaeota.